Long non-coding RNA from Cercocebus atys (sooty mangabey), 314 nucleotides. RefSeq lists it as uncharacterized. The transcript has 3 exons. The record is from RefSeq and is a predicted model, not a curated record. NCBI's taxonomy places the organism in Eukaryota, Metazoa, Chordata, Mammalia, Primates, Cercopithecidae.
AAAGCAGGGCAGCUAGAAACAAAACCACAAGCAUGACCUGGUGACUGCCCAGGGAAAGCGUCUCGGGAGGUGGCCUUUGACUUGAGGCCCCAGUGAUGUAAAGGCUGAGGGAAGAGCAGAUGCUGAGACUCCCAGCCAGGAUGUGCAGCAAAUGCUGGAGGAACCCAAGGAAACCAAGUGGAUGGUGGUAGUGAUGAUGGAGGGAAAGAGAUGGUUUGCCGUGUCUGCUAUGCUGUCAUCUGUCAUCUCUAUGCCAGCUUUGCCCGGCUGCUUCCCCUUCAUCCUUCACAGACUCCCCAACCCCAGAACUCUGC